This 57-nucleotide transfer RNA is filed under the name Neobacillus bataviensis LMG 21833. Its description in RNAcentral is "Bacillus bataviensis LMG 21833 tRNA-Met". It matches the Rfam family "tRNA", at positions 8 to 61 of the family's 71-position model. Rfam says of the family: Transfer RNA (tRNA) molecules are approximately 80 nucleotides in length. The record is from RNAcentral. Lineage: Bacteria; Bacillati; Bacillota; Bacilli; Caryophanales; Bacillaceae.
UAGCUCAGCUGGCUAGAGCGUACGGUUCAUACCCGUAAGGUCGGGGGUUCGAUCCCC